This 253-nucleotide ribosomal RNA is filed under the name uncultured bacterium. RNAcentral's name for it is "partial 16S ribosomal RNA". It matches the Rfam family "Bacterial small subunit ribosomal RNA", at positions 524 to 776 of the family's 1533-position model. The record is from RNAcentral.
UACGUAGGGUGCGAGCGUUAAUCGGAAUUACUGGGCGUAAAGCGUGCGCAGGCGGUUUGUUGUGUCUGAUGUGAAAGCCCCGGGCUCAACCUGGGAAUGGCAUUGGAAACUGGCGAGCUGGAGUGUGGCAGAGGGGGGUGGAAUUCCCGGUGUAGCGGUGAAAUGCGCAGAUAUCGGGAGGAACACCGGUGGCGAAGGCGGUUCUCUGGGCCUGUACUGACGCUGAGGAGCGAAAGCGUGGGGAGCGAACAGG